GAUGAACGCUAGCGGCAGGCCUAAUACAUGCAAGUCGAACGGGAUCCAGAUCAAAGCUUGCUUUGGUUUGGUGAGAGUGGCGUACGGGUGCGUAACGCGUGAGCAACCUACCCUUGUCAGGGGGAUAGCCCGGCGAAAGUCGGAUUAAUACCGCAUGACAUCAUUGAGAGGCAUCUUUCGAUGAUCAAAGAUUUAUCGGACAAGGAUGGGCUCGCGUGACAUUAGCUAGUUGGUAAGGUAACGGCUUACCAAGGCUACGAUGUCUAGGGGCUCUGAGAGGAGAAUCCCCCACACUGGUACUGAGACACGGACCAGACUCCUACGGGAGGCAGCAGUAAGGAAUAUUGGUCAAUGGACGGAAGUCUGAACCAGCCAUGCCGCGUGCAGGAAGACGGCACUAUGGGUUGUAAACUGCUUUUAUACGGGAACAAACGUCGGUACGUGUACCGGUCUGAGUGUACCGUAAGAAUAAGGAUCGGCUAACUCCGUG
This 490-nucleotide ribosomal RNA is filed under the name uncultured bacterium. RNAcentral describes it as "partial 16S ribosomal RNA". It matches the Rfam family "Bacterial small subunit ribosomal RNA", at positions 28 to 507 of the family's 1533-position model. The record is from RNAcentral.